Molecule: ribosomal RNA, 266 nt
Filed under: uncultured Planctomycetota bacterium
Lineage: Bacteria; Pseudomonadati; Planctomycetota
Description: uncultured planctomycete partial 16S ribosomal RNA
Rfam family: Bacterial small subunit ribosomal RNA
Source: RNAcentral
AAGCGGUGGAGCAUGUGGCUUAAUUCGAGGCUACGCGAAGAACCUUAUCCCGGGCUUGACAUGUGCGAAAGCGGCAAGAAGUAGCCCGCGGAAACGUGGGGCGAACGGUACCCAGUCCGGAACUUGCUACAGGUGCUGCAUGGCUGUCGUCAGCUCGUGUCGUGAGAUGUCGGGUUAAGUCCCAUAACGAGCGAAACCCCUGCCCUCAGUUGCCUAUUGGGACUCUGGGGGGACUGCCGGUGUCAAACCGGAGGAAGGUGGGGAUG